GAAAUGCGAUAAGUAGUGUGAAUUGCAGAAUUCAGUGAAUCAUCGAAUCUUUGAACGCACAUUGCGCCCCUUGGUAUUCCAUGGGGCAUGCCUGUUCGAGCGUCAUUUGUACCCUCAAGCUCUGCUUGGUGUUGGGUGUUUGUCCCGUCUCCGCGCGUGGACUCGCCCCAAAGUGCUUGGCAGCCGGCGUACUGGUCCCGGAGCGCAGCACAUGUCGCGCAAACGAGUGCCUUGGUACGGCGGCGUCCAUAAGCCCCUCUCUCACGCUCUUGACCUCGGAUCAGGUAGGGAUACCCGCUGAACUUAAGC
Molecule: unclassified non-coding RNA, 309 nt
Filed under: plant metagenome
Description: partial contains 5.8S ribosomal RNA, internal transcribed spacer 2, and large subunit ribosomal RNA
Rfam family: 5.8S ribosomal RNA (bases 1-105)
Source: RNAcentral